RNAcentral lists this ribosomal RNA (429 nucleotides) under Pseudomonadota bacterium. RNAcentral describes it as "Proteobacteria bacterium partial 16S ribosomal RNA". It matches the Rfam family "Bacterial small subunit ribosomal RNA", at positions 355 to 776 of the family's 1533-position model. The record is from RNAcentral. Lineage: Bacteria; Pseudomonadati; Pseudomonadota.
UGGGGAAUAUUGGACAAUGGGCGAAAGCCUGAUCCAGCCAUGCCGCGUGUGUGAAGAAGGUCUUCGGAUUGUAAAGCACUUUAAGUUGGGAGGAAGGGCAGUAAGCGAAUACCUUGCUGUUUUGACGUUACCGACAGAAUAAGCACCGGCUAACUCUGUGCCAGCAUCCGCGGUAAUACAGAGGGUGCGAGCGUUAAUCGGAUUUACUGGGCGUAAAGCGUGCGUAGGCGGCUAAUUUAGUCGGAUGUGAAAUCCCCGAGCUUAACUUGGGAAUUGCAUUCGAUACUGGGUAGCUAGAGUGUGGGGGAGGAUGGUAGAAUAUCAGGUGUGGCGAUGAAAUGCGUAGAGAUCUGGGGGAAUACCGAUGGCGAAGGCAGCAAUCUGGCCUAACACUGACGCUGAGGUACGAAAGAAUGGGGAGCAAACAGG